AUUGAACGCUGGCGGCAGGCCUAACACAUGCAAGUCGAACGGUAACAGGAAGACGCUUGCUUCUUUGCUGACGAGUGGCGGACGGGUGAGUAAUGUCUGGGAAACUGCCUGAUGGAGGGGGAUAACUACUGGAAACGGUAGCUAAUACCGCAUAACGUCGCAAGACCAAAGAGGGGGACCUUCGGGCCUCUUGCCAUCGGAUGUGCCCAGAUGGGAUUAGCUUGUUGGUGGGGUAACGGCUCACCAAGGCGACGAUCCCUAGCUGGUCUGAGAGGAUGACCAGCCACACUGGAACUGAGACACGGUCCAGACUCCUACGGGAGGCAGCAGUGGGGAAUAUUGCACAAUGGGCGCAAGCCUGAUGCAGCCAUGCCGCGUGUAUGAAGAAGGCCUUCGGGUUGUAAAGUGCUUUCAGCGGGGAGGAAGGGAGUAAAGUUAAUACCUUUGCUCAUUGACGUUACCCGCAGAAGAAGCACCGGCUAACUCCGUG
RNAcentral lists this ribosomal RNA (490 nucleotides) under uncultured bacterium. RNAcentral describes it as "partial 16S ribosomal RNA". It matches the Rfam family "Bacterial small subunit ribosomal RNA", at positions 30 to 507 of the family's 1533-position model. The record is from RNAcentral.